ACGGGAGGCAGCAGUGAGGAAUAUUGGUCAAUGGGCGAGAGCCUGAACCAGCCAAGUCGCGUGAAGGAUGAAGGUUCUAUGGAUUGUAAACUUCUUUUGUUCGAGGGUAAAGUGAGUCACGUGUGAUUUAUUGCAAGUAUCGAACGAAUAAGCAUCGGCUAACUCCGUGCCAGCAGCCGCGGUAAUACGGAAGAUGCGAGCGUUAUCCGGAUUUAUUGGGUUUAAAGGGAGCGUAGGCGGCCUUUUAAGUCAGCGGUCAAAUGUCAGCGCCCAACGCUGGCCUGCCGUUGAUACUGAUGGGCUUGAAUACACACAAGGAAGGUGGAAUUCGUCGUGUAGCGGUGAAAUGCUUAGAUAUGACGAAGAACUCCGAUUGCGAAGGCAGCCUUCUGGAGUGCGAUUGACGCUGAGGCUCGAAAGCGCGGGUAUCAAACAGGAUUAGAUACCCUGGUA
RNAcentral lists this ribosomal RNA (453 nucleotides) under uncultured Prevotellaceae bacterium. RNAcentral describes it as "bacterial SSU rRNA". It matches the Rfam family "Bacterial small subunit ribosomal RNA", at positions 341 to 792 of the family's 1533-position model. Lineage: Bacteria; Pseudomonadati; Bacteroidota; Bacteroidia; Bacteroidales; Prevotellaceae. The record is from RNAcentral.